CAGAUUCUUCUUCUCUGUCUCUUCUCUAUCUCUCUUCUCUCUAAGAAUCUCUCAACCCUAGAAACGUUACACGGCCGCCGUAACCUUCCAUCCAGUGCUCGCGGUGGCUUCGACCGAUCGGCGUCCGGGGUAGAGGCUAGGGUGUCGGCAAGAAGACGGUUGGUGCACCGUUGGGGCCAGCGAGCAAUGAGGUGCUGUUUGAACACGCCAAUCGAAAGGCAAAAUGGGCAGAAUUCUUAACGCUAAGGGAAGUCACAAAACAGUGGUAGGCGCCUGGUGUUCUGUCUUGAAUUCCAGGGAAAAAUCGAAGAGAUUGGGACUGUGGUGGGCAUUUCAUCAAGCCAUGAUGAGAGGUUUGCUUGGUUUGAGAAGCGAAUGGAUACGGACCUGGAGAGUUCAGACCACGUUGGCACGUCAACGAUAGAUAUGGUAACCUUACCUCAUCUCUCAAAUAAUUGUCACCCAUGAUCUAACACCAUAAAACUGCUACCUGGCUGUUUAUUUUGCCAAUACUGCACAAGGGGACCUACCAUAUGAUGAGUGUAAGCUUCAAGCAUCUCCGGUUUGACAUUAUUGACAGCUCGUCUACAAAGAAGUCGAACAAAGACAUGUACGGUGGCGCACCAGAGGAGUUGAUCAUUAUGCUGGCCAUUUAUCUAGACAGCAAACACCAAACACUACGUGCGGAUCGGAGACCAAAAAGGAUGCACCAUUCCAUUUCGACUGUUGAUUCCGGGAUAUUUACGAUGCGGCACAUGGAACUGUGGACUCGUACAACUUGUUAACCUACGUAAGCGCUUCAUGCACCUCAGCAAGGUCAAUACACAUACUGAGCGCAUUCGUCGGGGAGUUUGAUUGCCAGAGAGUAACGCAGAUGCGUCAAUGUAGCGGCAUCCAACACAAUAACAAACUACCAGCCCGAGACAUUACCCGCCAGUAAUUUACAUUUUGCAAUGCAGCACCACUUACCAGUUUCUUUUGUUCCCCAAACUCUAGUUUAUGAUUGUAUAGUUACCGGGUUUUAAUA
Molecule: RNA transcript, 1027 nt
Organism: Ipomoea nil (Japanese morning glory)
Lineage: Eukaryota; Viridiplantae; Streptophyta; Magnoliopsida; Solanales; Convolvulaceae
Exons: 4
Source: RefSeq, a predicted model, not a curated record